CUUUUGAGGGUCUAUUAAUUCUUAAUUCUUAAUCCUUGAGUUCUUCCACUAGACACACGUCACACACCCUCUAGAGAGAGUUGUGUUUGUCUAAACUCGAGAAAAUCAAGAUAGAAAGGAGGAGAAUCACGAACUGCAAAUAGAAGCUCGGGACGGGAGAACCAAACCAUCCAUCGGAAUUCGUUUCAGAUAGAAAGGUCUUCAGGAGGAUCUAGCUGUGGAGGAAGGGGUGUUACACUUAUAUCAUCCAAUCAAUCUAAUCGAGAAUUCGAGAUAGGUAUGGGUUACCUCGCGGUGGUAUCCUUGCCAGCAAUUCUUUUCAUCUUGAUCCUAGCCAUUAGUUGUUACCUUGUUGGUAGGUACAGGGGUAGAAGUGAAGGAAGGUGGGCUCCACAGUUUUAUGGGCCACCUGUACCUCCAGUGCAAUCCCAGGCCCCGGACAAAGUACCAGGCGCGUAGAGACGUAUUGGGCCUCCAUACUUGUGUAGACUGUAGACCAUAGAGUGACUUGAUGUACAAAUUAGUGUAAUGUUCACUAGAAGAAUCCCCCUACAUAUUUGUAUACUGCUCUUCUGUUGCUUGAAAAACAUCUGGAUCCUCACCAUCAACUAAUAUGUGUGUUUGAUACUGUAUAUGAAUUCACUUUAAAUAAAUUUUCUUGAUUUGAAUGUGCGGAAA
Long non-coding RNA from Macadamia integrifolia, 678 nucleotides. RefSeq lists it as uncharacterized. The transcript is spliced from 2 exons. Lineage: Eukaryota; Viridiplantae; Streptophyta; Magnoliopsida; Proteales; Proteaceae. The record is from RefSeq and is a predicted model, not a curated record.